Molecule: ribosomal RNA, 1279 nt
Filed under: Lactiplantibacillus pentosus
Lineage: Bacteria; Bacillati; Bacillota; Bacilli; Lactobacillales; Lactobacillaceae
Description: bacterial SSU rRNA
Rfam family: Bacterial small subunit ribosomal RNA
Source: RNAcentral
CUAACGCGUGGGAAACCUGCCCAGAAGCGGGGGAUAACACCUGGAAACAGAUGCUAAUACCGCAUAACAACUUGGACCGCAUGGUCCGAGUUUGAAAGAUGGCUUCGGCUAUCACUUUUGGAUGGUCCCGCGGCGUAUUAGCUAGAUGGUGGGGUAACGGCUCACCAUGGCAAUGAUACGUAGCCGACCUGAGAGGGUAAUCGGCCACAUUGGGACUGAGACACGGCCCAAACUCCUACGGGAGGCAGCAGUAGGGAAUCUUCCACAAUGGACGAAAGUCUGAUGGAGCAACGCCGCGUGAGUGAAGAAGGGUUUCGGCUCGUAAAACUCUGUUGUUAAAGAAGAACAUAUCUGAGAGUAACUGUUCAGGUAUUGACGGUAUUUAACCAGAAAGCCACGGCUAACUACGUGCCAGCAGCCGCGGUAAUACGUAGGUGGCAAGCGUUGUCCGGAUUUAUUGGGCGUAAAGCGAGCGCAGGCGGUUUUUUAAGUCUGAUGUGAAAGCCUUCGGCUCAACCGAAGAAGUGCAUCGGAAACUGGGAAACUUGAGUGCAGAAGAGGACAGUGGAACUCCAUGUGUAGCGGUGAAAUGCGUAGAUAUAUGGAAGAACACCAGUGGCGAAGGCGGCUGUCUGGUCUGUAACUGACGCUGAGGCUCGAAAGUAUGGGUAGCAAACAGGAUUAGAUACCCUGGUAGUCCAUACCGUAAACGAUGAAUGCUAAGUGUUGGAGGGUUUCCGCCCUUCAGUGCUGCAGCUAACGCAUUAAGCAUUCCGCCUGGGGAGUACGGCCGCAAGGCUGAAACUCAAAGGAAUUGACGGGGGCCCGCACAAGCGGUGGAGCAUGUGGUUUAAUUCGAAGCUACGCGAAGAACCUUACCAGGUCUUGACAUACUAUGCAAAUCUAAGAGAUUAGACGUUCCCUUCGGGGACAUGGAUACAGGUGGUGCAUGGUUGUCGUCAGCUCGUGUCGUGAGAUGUUGGGUUAAGUCCCGCAACGAGCGCAACCCUUAUUAUCAGUUGCCAGCAUUAAGUUGGGCACUCUGGUGAGACUGCCGGUGACAAACCGGAGGAAGGUGGGGAUGACGUCAAAUCAUCAUGCCCCUUAUGACCUGGGCUACACACGUGCUACAAUGGAUGGUACAACGAGUUGCGAACUCGCGAGAGUAAGCUAAUCUCUUAAAGCCAUUCUCAGUUCGGAUUGUAGGCUGCAACUCGCCUACAUGAAGUCGGAAUCGCUAGUAAUCGCGGAUCAGCAUGCCGCGGUGAAUACGUUCCCG